CAUAUCAAUAAGCGGAGGAAAAGAAACCAACAGGGAUUGCCUCAGUAACGGCGAGUGAAGCGGCAAAAGCUCAAAUUUGAAACCUUCGGGAUUGUAAUUUGAAGAUUUGGCAUUGGAGAAAGCUAACCCAAGUUACUUGGAAUAGUACGUCAUAGAGGGUGACAACCCCGUCUGGCUAACCGUUCUCCAUGUAUUGCCUUAUCAAAGAGUCGAGUUGUUUGGGAAUGCAGCUCAAAGUGGGUGGUAAACUCCAUCUAAAGCUAAAUACUGGUGAGAGACCGAUAGCGAACAAGUACUGUGAAGGAAAGGUGAAAAGAACUUUGAAAAGAGAGUGAAAUAGUAUGUGAAAUUGUUGAUAGGGAAGGAAAUGAGCGGAGAGUGGUCGAGGUUUCAGCCAUCCCUUGGGAUGGUGUAUUGCCGACGCCGAGUCAUCGCUAGCGAGACGGGGGUUAUAAACGGGUUGCAUUCAUGCUUCUCACCUAGCCCCCCUACUGCCACCGACGACAUAAUCCGCCCAUUUCACCCGUCUUGAAACACGGACCAAGGAGUCUAAUGGAUAUGUGAGUGUUAGGGUGCCAAACCCCAGCGCGCAAUGAAAGUGAAUGAUUCGUUCAGAAUCGACCGAACUUGAUUUUUAUGACAGUUUUGAGUAAACACAUCCAUUGGGACCCGAAAGAUGGUGAACUAUGCCUGAAUAGGGUGAAGUCAGAGGAAACUCUGAUGGAGGCUCGUAGCGGUUCUGACGUGCAAAUCGAUCGUAGAAUUUGGGUAUAGGGGCGAAAGACUAAUCGAACCAUCUAGUAGCUGGUUCCUGC
Molecule: ribosomal RNA, 815 nt
Filed under: uncultured Yarrowia
Lineage: Eukaryota; Fungi; Ascomycota; Dipodascomycetes; Dipodascales; Dipodascaceae
Description: LSU rRNA
Rfam family: Eukaryotic large subunit ribosomal RNA
Source: RNAcentral